This 468-nucleotide ribosomal RNA is filed under the name uncultured bacterium. Its description in RNAcentral is "partial 16S ribosomal RNA". It matches the Rfam family "Bacterial small subunit ribosomal RNA", at positions 28 to 507 of the family's 1533-position model. The record is from RNAcentral.
GACGAACGCUGGCGGCGUGCUUAACACAUGCAAGUCGAACGGAAAGGCCCUGCUUUUGUGGGGUGCUCGAGUGGCGAACGGGUGAGUAACACGUGAGUAACCUGCCCUUGACUUUGGGAUAACUUCAGGAAACUGGGGCUAAUACCGGAUAGGAGCUCCUGCUGCAUGGUGGGGGUUGGAAAGUUUCGGCGGUUGGGGAUGGACUCGCGGCUUAUCAGCUUGUUGGUGGGGUAGUGGCUUACCAAGGCUUUGACGGGUAGCCGGCCUGAGAGGGUGACCGGCCACAUUGGGACUGAGGUACGGCCCAGACUCCUACGGGAGGCAGCAGGGGGGAAUAUUGCACAAUGGGCGGAAGCCUGAUGCAGCAACGCCGCGUGCGGGAUGACGGCCUUCGGUUUGUAAACCGCUUUCGCCUGUGACGAAGCGUGAGUGACGGUAAUGGGUAAAGAAGCACCGGCUAACUACGUG